UAUAUAAGUAGUAUGCUUUAAAUAAUAUGUAAAGUAAAUUAAAUUAUAUUUUUUUAUAAAAUUAAUUUUGGGUACUGAUUGGCCACAAACAAGUGACUAAAUUCAAAAUAUUGGGUUUAAACAUGGUUAUUACGUGUUGGACCAGAUUUUGGACUCCAAAACAAGCCCAAUUGGAUCAUUUUGCACCAACUAAUCCACGACUAAUAAGCGACUAAGUUUAAAACAUUUUGGGUUAAUUAAACUCGGGAAUCCAUUUACGCGGUCCAGCCCAUAACCCUAACAAACGAGAUAACCCUAAUUUUUCAACCCUAAUCUCUCAUUUCUCACCAUCCUCCGAUUCUCUCAAUCUCUCAAUCUUCGAUCGCCGAAACUCUAAUCUCCCAAUCUUAUUUCUCACCAUCCUUCAUCUUCCUCCUGCCGAUUCUCACGAUGCCUCCUCUUAAGAAGCCUGGACGAAAGAGGAAUGUUGUCCCCAACGCUCCUCUCAGACCCGGUGGCUCUAACCCUCCGUCGAAGGUGAGAAAAGUCAACCAUAUACCACCUCAAUACAACUUCACGCCGGCGGCUCAAAAUCCUACACCUCAAGAACAAGUCCGCGUUUCCCCCCAACUAUCGACAUCAGCCGCAUCGCAGGUCAGAAACUAUCCACCCCCACAGACCCUAUUUCAGAAGUCCAUGAAUCGAAGCGUUGAUGACCAACCAACUCGGUCAUUACCAGAAGUUCAGAACAAUCCACCGAUUCGAUCGAAUCCUUUGUAAGAAUCUGUGAGAUCCCCAACUCAGAACUCUCAUGCUCCUUCUUCUCAAGGUAACAACUUCGACGAGUCUGAUCCAGUGUUGCCGGAACUCCAGGAAGACACGUUGAGGGCUCUUAACGCCAUACUUAUGGUACCGGACCUUCAUACUUUUACCACUGUCCUCUCUCCGGAACCGAAGCCUAACACAACUUGGUUUACUCUUGAUGCCAAAUCACAACUGGUGCGGAAGAUUACAAAGGUUUUUACAAACAAAUUUGAUGGUCCAUACUAUAAUUGGUCAUGUGUACCUCCGGAUAGACGAGAAAGAUACUUUCUUGAGUUUGCGAAAACACACACUUGAGAUCCAUUGAUAACAGGGACAGUGCAACAUUUUUUCUAUGAGAUAUGUCAACGCCGGAUGAAAAAUAUGGUAAGCGACGCUAGGACUAGUCGAGGGCAACCUAAAUGGAUCGCGAGUGAACUCUAGAAAAGAAUGGUUGCGUAGUGGGAUACUGAAGAAGCACAAGAAAGGAGUCGAAUCUAUUCCAAUGCUAGUAUGUCAGAACGUAAUGGUCUCGGUCCACACUCGCACUUAUCUGGGCCAACAUCAUAUCAACAAGUCAAACAAGGCUUGGAAGAGAAACUUGGGAGACCUGUGAGUCUUAGUGAGGUUUUCAAAGAGACACAUACAAGGCCAGAUGCUACGUAUGUCGAUCGAAAAGCCAAGAAGAUCUUCUCAACUUAUGAGAAAAACUUACAAGCUAAGAUAUCUGAGAUCGAGUCAGAUCCUUCACGAGCUCAUUAGCUCACAGCAGAAGAUUAUAUGGUCAUCUUUCUUCAGUCCACUGAGAAGGAUUCACGAGGUAAUCUUUUUGGACUUGGAAGCCUCAAGGAUCAUCUUCAGGAUCUUCUCAAUGACAAGAGCUAUCAACAAGGAGAGUCGUCAUCGUUUGUAGCAUUGCAAGAGCAAGUGAAGGAAUCUCAUCGUAUAAUUGAAGAACAAGUUGCCUAUACUACAAAACGUGAUGCUGAGAUUGCUGCUCGUGAAGCAGAACACUCCAAAGUUGUGGCUGACCAAGAGAAGAAGAUAGAGAACUUGGAAAAGUUCAUGCGUACGAUGUGUCCAACCUUUGUCGAAUUCCAAGAGUCUGAAUCAAGUUACGCAUCCACCACCUCUCCAACACAGAUAACAGCUCCUACUUAGGUUACUUCUUAGGCCACUUAUUAUGGUUUAGGUUCUCUUUUGGUUACUAUGAACUUGUCACUUUGGGAUGAUGUGUCAAUCAUAUUUUUCGAUUGAUCGUUUUGGUUCUCUUUUUGUAAUUGCUAAUGUGGUGAACAUAUUACUAUUGUGGUGAACUUUUGGGUAUUAAAAAUGUGAAUUUUAGGUUUC
Non-coding RNA from Camelina sativa (false flax), 2130 nucleotides. NCBI's taxonomy places the organism in Eukaryota, Viridiplantae, Streptophyta, Magnoliopsida, Brassicales, Brassicaceae. The record is from RefSeq and is a predicted model, not a curated record.